AAAAAAAAGAAAAAAGAAAGAAAGAAAGAAAAAGAAAAAGUGGAAUGGGGCUGAGACAGAAGCCUUUGUCGGGAGUUCAGAGCGAAUACAUCAGAGUGUACGAUGCCGAAGACAAUUGAAAUGGAGUUAUGUGAGUUUUCAUACACCCACGUCCUUUAUGUCUUAGAAGCAUGUGAGCAACUCUCUACUUCAGGCCUACUGAUGAGUAAGGAAGGACUGAAAGGAAGAGAAACUCUAGGCUGCCUGAUGGUCCUCUUUCCUUUUACGUCAUCAUCCUCAGUAAACCCUACAGGGCUGGCCG
This is a long non-coding RNA of Hipposideros armiger (great roundleaf bat), 301 nucleotides long. RefSeq lists it as uncharacterized. The transcript has 4 exons. NCBI's taxonomy places the organism in Eukaryota, Metazoa, Chordata, Mammalia, Chiroptera, Hipposideridae. The record is from RefSeq and is a predicted model, not a curated record.